This 483-nucleotide ribosomal RNA is filed under the name uncultured bacterium. RNAcentral's name for it is "partial 16S ribosomal RNA". It matches the Rfam family "Bacterial small subunit ribosomal RNA", at positions 30 to 507 of the family's 1533-position model. The record is from RNAcentral.
AUUGAACGCUGGCGGCAGGCCUAACACAUGCAAGUCGAGCGGAUGAAGGGAGCUUGCUCCUGGAUUCAGCGGCGGACGGGUGAGUAAUGCCUAGGAAUCUGCCUGGUAGUGGGGGAUAACGUCCGGAAACGGGCGCUAAUACCGCAUACGUCCUGAGGGAGAAAGUGGGGAUCUUCGGACCUCACGCUAUCAGAUGAGCCUAGGUCGGAUUAGCUAGUUGGUGGGGUAAAGGCCUACCAAGGCGACGAUCCGUAACUGGUCUGAGAGGAUGAUCAGUCACACUGGAACUGAGACACGGUCCAGACUCCUACGGGAGGCAGCAGUGGGGAAUAUUGGACAAUGGGCGAAAGCCUGAUCCAGCCAUGCCGCGUGUGUGAAGAAGGUCUUCGGAUUGUAAAGCACUUUAAGUUGGGAGGAAGGGCAAUAAGUUAAUACCUUGCUGUUUUGACGUUACCAACAGAAUAAGCACCGGCUAACUUCGUG